GGGUCCCAAUCCUCUUUCUCAUUGCCUGCAAACACAGCUCAAAAACCCCCGUGAAACUUCCCCACUAACCGUAACCCUCACGGAAGCCCACUUAGUAAUCUAGAAUCUCACAUUUUGAUAUAAACGUCUCCUUCCUCACCAGCCAUAAAAACCAGUGCUUACCUCUGUGAAGUAACUUCUCAAGAGUUCCUCAUUCAUGGCAACGGCUCCUCGAGCCCCGCUCAUGUCUCUGGACGCCCCAGUGGCUCUUGUUGUCCUUAUUGUGGUGUCAUUGGCAGCGAUGGAUCCUGCGGUGGCUACAUGGUGGCGGGAUGCUUUGGAAGAUUGUGGAACCAGUAGGAGGCGGACCUUCACUAAAGGAAGUGGACCGCUGCAGGUAGACCUUGGGGUUUUAUAGCCUGACACCACUCCCUGACUGCUCUCUGCUUCCAGACUACAAAUGAAACGUGACCAGCUUCUUCACACUUAAGCUACCAAGCCUUCCUUGCCGUGAUGGUUUGUAUCUCUCAAGCACUAAGCCUUUCCUUCCUUAAA
Molecule: non-coding RNA, 534 nt
Organism: Rattus norvegicus (Norway rat)
Lineage: Eukaryota; Metazoa; Chordata; Mammalia; Rodentia; Muridae
Source: RefSeq, a predicted model, not a curated record